RNAcentral lists this transfer RNA (55 nucleotides) under Uncinaria sanguinis. RNAcentral's name for it is "tRNA-Asp". The record is from RNAcentral. Lineage: Eukaryota; Metazoa; Nematoda; Chromadorea; Rhabditida; Ancylostomatidae.
AAAGUUUUAGUAUAAUUUUGUAUAACUUAUUGUCAAUAGGUAGGAUAAAACUUUA